CAUGGCAUAUGGAGGUUCCCAGGCUAUGGGUCAAAUCGGUACUGUAGCCGCCGACCUAUGCCAGAGCCACAGAAACACCAGAUCUAAGCCACGUCUGCGACCUAUACCACAGCUCUCAGCAAUGUCAGAUCCUUAACCCACUGAGUGAGGGUGGGAUCGAACCCAAAACCUCAUGGUUCCUAGUCAGAUUCAUUAACCACUGAGCCACGACGGGAACUCCUGUUGUAGAUUAAUUGAUCAUAGUGUGUAGGUUUAUUUCUGGGCUUUUUUUUUUCCAUUGAUCUAUGUGUCUGUUUUCAUGCCAGUACCAUACUGUUUUAAUUACUGUAGCUUUGUAUUACUGUAGAGAAAAUGAUGUCCCCCAACUUUUUUCUCAAGAUUUCUUUAGAAAUUUGGGGUCUUUGUGGUUCCAUAUAAAUUUUAGGAUUAUUUGUUCCAGGUCUGUGGAAAAUAUCAUGGAUAUUUUCAUAGGGAUUGGAUUAAAUCUGUAGAUUGCUUUGGGUAGUGUCAACAUUUUAACAAUAUUAAUUCUUCUAAUCCAUGAACAUAGGAUAUCUUUCCAUUUUUUAUAUCAUCUUCAAUUUCCUUCACCAGUGGCUUAUAGUUGUCAGAACAUGGGUCUCUUACCUCCUUGGUUAAAUUUAUUCCUAAGUAUUUUAGUAUUUUUGAUGUAGUUUUAAAGGGAAUUGUUUUCUUGCUUUCUCUAAUAGCUCAUUAUUAGUGUAUAGAAAAGCAACAGAUUUUUGUAUAGUAAUUUCAUAUCUUGCAACUUUACUGAUUUCAUGUAUUUGUUCUGUUUUUUUUUUUUUUUUUGGUGGAGACUUUAGGGUUUUCUCUAUUAUUAUCAUGUCAUCUGCAAACAGUGACCAUUUAUAUAUAUCAACUUUGAUGAGAGUUUUUUCAUGAAUGGAUGUUGAAUUUUGUCAAAUGCCUUUUCUGCAUCAGUUGAGAUAAUAUGUGAUUUUCAUCCUUCCUUUUGUUAAUGUGGUAUAUUACAUUAGUUGAUUUGCAGAUAUUGAAACAUCUCUGUAUCCUUGGAAUAAAUCCCACUUGAUCACGGUAUAUGAGGCUUUUAAUAUAGCCAUCUUAACCAUUUUUUAAAUCUUUUUAGGGCCGUCCCCAUGACAUAUGAAAGUUCCCAGGCUAAGGGUUGAAUCAGAGCUGUAGCUGCUGGCCUACACCACAGCCACAGCAAUGCAGGAUCUGAGCUACAUCUGUGACCUAUACCACAGCUCACAGCAAUGCCACAUCCUUAAUCCACUGAGUGAGGCCAGGGAUUGAAACUGCAUCUUCAUGGAUACUAGUCAGAUUCGUUUCCACUGAGCCAUGAUAUGGGAACUCCCAUCUUAAUUAUUUUUAAGUGUACAGUUCAUGAUGUUAAAUGCACUCACAAUAUUGUGCAACCAUCACCAUCAUCCAUGUCCAGAACCAUUUUCAUCUUGCAAAACUGAAACUCUGCACCCAUUAAACAGUAACUCCCAUACCCUUCUCUUCCCAACUCCUGACAACCAUUCUACUUUCUGUCUCUAUGAAUUUGACUGCUCUAGGGACCUCAUAUGAGUGAUGAUAUACAAUAUCUGUCUUCUUGUGCUUGGCUUAUUUCACUGAGCCUAAUGUUCUCCAGGUUCAUCCAUGUAACAAAUGUGAGAAUUUCCUUCCUUUUUAAGGCUGAAUAAUAUUCUAUUUUACAGAGUGAACACACUUUGCACAGCAGUGUUUUUAAUGUGCUUACUCUUUCUUUACCUAUGAGAAGAAACUUUCUUAAAGAUAUUAAUUUUUUUUUCUGCUCGGUCUGUUUACAGUAAUACCUUUGGGUAAAUGAUUUUCUUUAGCAUACAGUACAAAAUAAUGUCAAAGAAGUUGUUGAUGCUUAGGUUCAAUAAUCCAUUCGCAAUGUAGUAACUUUCCCUUAAGGUCUAUUAUUUGCUUGAAGAUAAAAAUAAAUAGAGAUUUCAACCUCUGAGCAAAGAGCUGCUUACUGUAUUUAUUUAGUGUGUUAUAAUUAAAACUGUUGUGAAUUCUGCAGCUGCAUUUUGCAGAGGCUGAGAAAACCUUUUUUCAGUUUGGUUCAAGUAAAUUCACACUUCCUGAAUUCCGUUUUGUGCUUUAGGAUCUAAAAAUGAACCUAGAAUUAAAAACAAAAAUGCAAUAACACUGUUGUGGCGUGCCUGGACUCAUGCAGACAUCAAAGGGUGUGUGUGAUGCCCAGCAUGUAUCCAAAUAAAGUUUGGUGACUCAGUUUGAAUCCAAGUAUGUUAGUGCCCACAUGCGUUUUUUCCCUAAAUUUUGAUUGAGGUCAGCUCCCUGACCUCAGUCUCAAUUCUACUCUCACCUUUUGGACUGAAUUCCCUUUAAAUUAAGUGAAGCAUUUUUUUUUAAAGAAAGAAAGAGAGAAGACUUUGCAGAGAAAGGAGGUCACUAAAGAGUAUUCAUUGUAUUUGCCACCAGAGUUUAGGAGAUGGCAGGAGCCCUUAGAGGUUUGUUGGGGCUCCCUAGUGUAGUACCCUAAUGUCCACCUUUGGGAAUCUUCCAUCAGAUGAGGGGCACCAGGUCCUUCUCCCCUGCCCCAGUGGAGCCUGGAGGCUACAUGUUGGCUCCUAGCACACUGAAUCUUGAGGAUAUGAUGCAAGAACCUGGGCAGCGUCAGAUGUUAUAGGUCAUACUGCCAUAACGGCAGCAGCCUCAGAGAUAGUUGUAUCCCAGAGGGGCUCUUCCUGCCAUUUCCUACUUCCUGACCUUCCAAAGAUUCCUGGUCCUGCUGCUCUGGAGGGCAGCAUGGGCCCCCAUUACAUGUUUGAGCCAGGCAGCCUGGGAUUUGGAAGAAAGUCAGGGAAGGUAACCUUGAUGUGGAAGCAAACUUAGGUCAGAAACAAAAACAGCCAAUUAGGUAAAAUGAAGCAGCAGAGGAGCAUGUCCCAAAUGAAUAAACAAGAUAAAACCCUAAAAGAAGAACUAAGUGAAGUGGACAUAGCAAUCUACCCAAGAAAGAGUUUGAGGUACUGAUUAUAAAGAUGAUCAAAGAACUCAAGAAAAGAAUGGAUGAACCGAGUGAGAAGUUAGAGGGUUUUAAUAAAUGGUUAAAAAAUAUAAAGAAAAACCUAAAAGACAUGAAGAAUACAAUAACUGAAAUGAAAAACUGAAAUUCCACACUAGAAGGAAUGAAUAGUAGACUAAAUGAUACAGAGGAACAGUUCAGUGAUCUGGAAGGAAGAGUAGUGUAAAUCACCGAGGAUGAGUAGAAAAAGGAAUAAAUAACAAGAAGAAAUGAGGACAGUAAAAGACCACUGGGAUGAUAUCAAGUGCACUACCAUUUGCGUUAUAGGCAUCCUAGAAGGAGACAGCACAGAAAAGUCCCAAACAGGAUUAACCCAAAGAGGACCAACUAAGACACAUUGUAAUUAAAAUGGCACAAAGUAAAAAUAAAGAGAGAAUAUUAAAAGCAGCAAGGGUGGAGUUUCUCUUGUGGCUCAGUGGGUUAAGAACCCAGCUAGUAUCCAUGAGGGUUCAAUCCCUGGCCUCGCUCAGUGGGUUAAGGAUCCAGCAUUGCUGCAGGCUGCGACAAAGUGCACAGAUGUGGCAAAGAUCUGGCAUUGCUAUGACUGUGGCAUGGGCCAGCAGCUGUAGCUCCAAUUUGACCAGCUCUGGGGAUUUCCAUAUCCUGUGAGUGUGGCCCUAAAAAUAAAGAAAAGCAGCAAGGGAAAAGCAACAUGUGACAUGCAAGGGAACUCCCAUAAGGCUAUAUGUUGCUUUUCAGCAAAGAGGAGUGGCAUGAUAUACUUAAUGUAUGAAAGAGAAACACAUGCAACCAUGAAUACUCUGCCCAGCAAAGCUUUUAUUCAGAUUUGAUGGAGAGGGAAAAAUUUUACAUACAAGCAAAAGUUAAAACAGUUCAGUACCACAAAACUAGCUUCACAAGAAAUGUUAAAGGGACUUCUCUAAGUGAAAAAGAAAAGGCCACAACUAGAAUGUGAAAAUUAUUAAAGGAAAAAUCUCAUUAGUAAAGGCAAAUACAUGGGAAUGGUAGUAAAUCAACCACAUACAAAGGCAGUAGGAAAGUUAAAAGAAAAAAAGUAUAAAAUCAUCUAUAUCCAGAAUAAGAAAUUAAGAGAUACAAAAAAAAAAUAGUUGUAAAAUAUGAUGUCAAAAACAGUAAUCAUGAUAGGAGGAGAGUAAAAAUGUGGGGUUCUUAAAAUGUGUUUGAAAUUAAGAGAUCAGCAACUGAAAAAUCAUAUAUUUGGCUAUAUAUAUAUAUGUAAAUCUCAUGGUAACAACAAACCAAAAAUCUAUAAUAGAUACACAAAAAGAGAAAGGAAUACAAAUACAAAUACAAUGUUAAAGAUAGUCAUCAAGUCACAAAAGAAGGAACAAAAAAGACCUACAAAAACAAUUUAAAAAAUGGCAUUAAGUACAUACAUACCAAUAACUAAUUAAUCUAUGACAGAGGAGGCAAAAUAUACAAUGGAGAAAAGAGAGUCUCUUCAGCAAGUGGUGCUGGGUUGGGUGGACAGCUAUGUGUAAAAGAAUGAAAUUAGAGCACUCCCUCACACCAUAUACAAAAAAAACUCAAAAUAGUUUAGAGACCCAAACAUAAAACAUGACACCAUAAAACUCCCAGAAGAGACCAUAGGCAAAACAUUCUCUGACAUAAAUUGUAACAAUGUUUUCUUAGAUCAGUCUCCCAAGGCAAGAAUAAACAAAUAAUCAAACUUAAAAGCUUUUGCGGAGCUCCUGUCGUGGAGCAGUGGUUAACGAAUCCGACUAGGAACCAUGAGGUUGUGGGUUCGAUCCCUGCCCUUGCUCAGUGGGUUAACGAUCCGGCGUUGCCGGGAGCUGUGGUGUAGGUUGCAGACGCAGCUGGGAUCCUGCGUUGCUGUGGCUCUGGCGUAGGCCAGUGGCUACAGCUCUGAUUCAACCCCUAGCCUGGGAACCUCCAUAUGGCGCGGGAGUGGCCCAAGAAAUGGCAAAAAGACAAAAAAAAAAAAAAAAAAAAAAAAAA
RNAcentral lists this long non-coding RNA (4996 nucleotides) under Sus scrofa (pig). RNAcentral describes it as "lncRNA (ENSSSCG00030008695.1)". Lineage: Eukaryota; Metazoa; Chordata; Mammalia; Artiodactyla; Suidae. The record is from RNAcentral.